Molecule: ribosomal RNA, 206 nt
Filed under: uncultured bacterium
Lineage: Bacteria
Description: partial 16S ribosomal RNA
Rfam family: Bacterial small subunit ribosomal RNA
Source: RNAcentral
UACGUAGGGCGCAAGCGUUGUCCGGAAUUAUUGGGCGUAAAGAGCUCGUAGGCGGUUUGUCACGUCGGCUGUGAAAACCCGAGGCUCAACCUCGGGCCUGCAGUCGAUACGGGCAGACUAGAGUGCUGUAGGGGAGACUGGAAUUCCUGGUGUAGCGGUGAAAUGCGCAGAUAUCAGGAGGAACACCGGUGGCGAAGGCGGGUCUC